CAGUAGCCGCGGUAAUACGUAGGGUGCGAGCGUUAAUCGGAAUUACUGGGCGUAAAGCGUGCGCAGGCGGUUUUGUAAGACAGGCGUGAAAUCCCCGGGCUCAACCUGGGAAUGGCGCUUAUGACUGCAAAGCUAGAGUGCGGCAGAGGGGGAUGGAAUUCCGCGUGUAGCAGUGAAAUGCGUAGAUAUGCGGAGGAACACCGAUGGCGAAGGCAAUCCCCUGGGCCUGCACUGACGCUCAUGCACGAAAGCGUGGGGAGCAAACAGGAUUAGAUACCCCAGUAGUCCCUGUCUCUUAUAC
RNAcentral lists this ribosomal RNA (301 nucleotides) under uncultured bacterium. Its description in RNAcentral is "partial 16S ribosomal RNA". It matches the Rfam family "Bacterial small subunit ribosomal RNA", at positions 509 to 807 of the family's 1533-position model. The record is from RNAcentral.